CUAGCUGGUGUCGGAACUGGUUCCGCCAAGGCGGAUGAAAAGGGAACACGGUUGGCCGAGCCAUCGGCACAAGCCGGACUGCCCCCGCAACUGUAACCGUUGAGCCUUCUUCCACGAUGCCACUGGCUAGAGACAGCCGGGAAGGCGGAAGGAAGCGACGACACGGAAGUCAGGAGACCUGCCGGUUUCGGUCACCCAUG
This 200-nucleotide non-coding RNA is filed under the name Mesorhizobium sp. Root157. The record is from RNAcentral. RNAcentral also lists the same sequence under 1 other name. Lineage: Bacteria; Pseudomonadati; Pseudomonadota; Alphaproteobacteria; Hyphomicrobiales; Phyllobacteriaceae.